AAAACCUCUUCCCAAACAAAGGGUAAGUGUUUGCAUGCUUCAAACUUCCACUCAUAUAAACGGUAACCAUCUGACAAUUAAGCAAGAAAAAAACUGAAAUUGGAGUAAAAGAAAAGGCUCUAAAAAUUUAUAUUACGUAAUUUCCAAGAAAAAUGCUAGUAAUCUAACUCCCAGUAUAAACAAUAAACCAUAUCAAAUUUCCAA
Molecule: unclassified non-coding RNA, 204 nt
Filed under: Hevea brasiliensis (rubber tree)
Lineage: Eukaryota; Viridiplantae; Streptophyta; Magnoliopsida; Malpighiales; Euphorbiaceae
Source: RNAcentral